RNAcentral lists this non-coding RNA (45 nucleotides) under Schistosoma haematobium. Lineage: Eukaryota; Metazoa; Platyhelminthes; Trematoda; Strigeidida; Schistosomatidae. The record is from RNAcentral.
AUCCAGCUGACGAGUCGCAAGUAGGACGAAACGCGUGUCCUGGAU